UAGGGAAUCUUCGGCAAUGGACGAAAGUCUGACCGAGCAACGCCGCGUGAGUGAAGAAAGGUUUUUCGGAUCGUAAAACUCUGUUGGUAGAGAGGAACGUUGGUGAGAGUGGAAAGCUCAUCAAGUGACGGUAACUACCCAGAAAGGGACGGCUAACUACGUGCCAG
RNAcentral lists this ribosomal RNA (167 nucleotides) under uncultured bacterium. Its description in RNAcentral is "partial 16S rRNA". It matches the Rfam family "Bacterial small subunit ribosomal RNA", at positions 355 to 511 of the family's 1533-position model. The record is from RNAcentral.